Long non-coding RNA from Daphnia pulicaria, 231 nucleotides. RefSeq lists it as uncharacterized. The transcript is spliced from 3 exons. The record is from RefSeq and is a predicted model, not a curated record. NCBI's taxonomy places the organism in Eukaryota, Metazoa, Arthropoda, Branchiopoda, Diplostraca, Daphniidae.
GCAUCAGGCAGCCACGGAAGAUAGUGAAGAUGAGAUCGAGGACGACAUUCCUUGGCCUGCUCCCACAGAAAAAAUCUCGAUCGUGAAAGGUUUUCCUCUGGUGUCGCCUUACAUCGGCGUUAGCCCCACAUUGUGCUACCUACUGAAAGAGAAGAAACCACUUUGCUGCUUACAACUCACUCAGAUGUGCGAGCAUUCGAGCCACCGGAGCGCCAAGGAAUACAAUUGGCC